AGUGAACGCUGGCGGUAGGCCUAACACAUGCAAGUCGAACGGCAGCACAGUAAGAGCUUGCUCUUACGGGUGGCGAGUGGCGGACGGGUGAGGAAUACAUCGGAAUCUACUUUUUCGUGGGGGAUAGCGUAGGGAAACUUACGCUAAUACCGCAUACGACCUACGGGUGAAAGCAGGGGAUCUUCGGACCUUGCGCGAUUGAAUGAGCCGAUGUCGGAUUAGCUAGUUGGCGGGGUAAAGGCCCACCAAGGCGACGAUCCGUAGCUGGUCUGAGAGGAUGAUCAGCCACACUGGAACUGAGACACGGCCCAGACUCCUACGGGAGGCAGCAGUGGGGAAUAUUGGACGAUGGGGGCAAGCCGGAUCCAGCAAUACCGCGUGGGUGAAGAAGGCCUUCGGGUUGUAAAGCCAUGUUGUUGGGAAAGAAAAGCAGCAGGUUAAUACCCCGCUGUUCUGACGGUACCCAAAGAAUAAGCACCGGCUAACUUCGUG
This 492-nucleotide ribosomal RNA is filed under the name uncultured bacterium. RNAcentral describes it as "partial 16S ribosomal RNA". It matches the Rfam family "Bacterial small subunit ribosomal RNA", at positions 29 to 507 of the family's 1533-position model. The record is from RNAcentral.